RNAcentral lists this ribosomal RNA (422 nucleotides) under uncultured bacterium. RNAcentral describes it as "partial 16S ribosomal RNA". It matches the Rfam family "Bacterial small subunit ribosomal RNA", at positions 360 to 774 of the family's 1533-position model. The record is from RNAcentral.
AAUUUUGGACACUGGGGGAAACUCUGAUCCAGCCAUCCCGCGUGUAUGAUGAAGGCCUUCGGGUUGUCCAGCACUUUUGGCAGGAUAGAAAAGCCACCGGUUAAUACCUGGUGGUGCUGACGGUACCUUCAGAAUAAGCACCGGCUAACUACGUGCCAGCAGCCGCGGUAAUACGUAGGGUGCAAGCGUUAAUCGGAAUUACUGGGCGUAAAGCGUGCGCAGGCGGUUCGGCAAGAAGGAUGUGAAAUCCCGGGGCUUAACCUCGGAACUGCAUUCUUAACUGCCGGGCUAGAGUAUGUCAGAUGGGGGUAGAAGUCCACGUGUAGCAGUGAAAUGCGUAGAGAUGUGGAGGAAUACCGAUGGCGAAGGCAGCCCCCUGGGAUGAUACUGACGCUCAUGCACGAAAGCGUGGGGAGCAAACA